This is a long non-coding RNA of Pezoporus occidentalis (night parrot), 1957 nucleotides long. RefSeq lists it as uncharacterized. The record is from RefSeq and is a predicted model, not a curated record. The transcript is spliced from 2 exons. NCBI's taxonomy places the organism in Eukaryota, Metazoa, Chordata, Aves, Psittaciformes, Psittacidae.
CAGAUAAAUUUUCCCCUCCACCUGUGCAGCUGACUAUUCAGGGUGUGCUCCAUGGGACUUCAUGCUGGCUCAGCAAGGGCCCAGCUGCUUUCGAGGCUUUCUGGAAUGUGGAGGUGGCAGGAAUGUGAACACGCUUUCUGGUGAAGACCUGUGGGAAUUCAAGGAAGUUCACAAGACAAGUAUUGGAUUCAUCAGAACAGUCAGGUUUUAAGAUGAAGAGAUUCUAGGUUCUUGCUCACGGUUUUACAGCCUCAUCUUACUUGCUCACUGCAAUAAAUUCAUGAGCUAUCCACAAGAAAAUCAGUUAUCAUCACAAAACUCGGUUGGAAGCUGCACUUCCCUAAUAUACCCAGUCCCUGGCUUUUCACUCAUGAACUACAUAUAACAGAAGUUCUGUCUACCCUACCUUUGCUGCAUUUUCCACUGGCAAAUCCUGGCUACACAGACAUGCAAUUGAGCAUUACUUAAUUAUCACACUCUUUUCUUACAUACCUAAGCACUAGAACCAAACUAUGAACAAACCUGAAUAAGAUUUCAGAUAGUGGAAAAACAUUAAGAGCUGAAGUUUGCUGUAUAUCUUCUUAAAGCAAACAGUGUGGCAUGAAGAAAAUGUUGGACUUCAUUCUAAAGUGCUUUGAUCGUACCCCCCCACCAAUGUAAUCAUUCCACUUUCUUUUUCUUCAUCAUUCCCCUUUCUCACUUGUAAGACACAUUACCACAAAAACCUGCACCAAUAUAACUACAUACUCUGGAAAUACUUUUAUUUCCCAAUUCUUUAAUCUAAGCUGCUAAGCUCUGUUCUCACACUCAAAUAACCAAUAGCUGUGGAAGACAGCUAGAGCCAGAGUGUCCAUGUCAGCUACAGAAAAGAAGAUGACAUUGGGAAAAGAUAGCUUCAGCAGACAAAAGCUUCCUUGGCCUGUGAUUUUCAAGUUCUAAGAGCCAAGGGCUAGAUUUAAAUCAAGAUAAACUCUGAACAUUAUGAUUCAGUUGUUAAAACCUCAAGAUUUUUCUAGGCAUCUCAGCAAAUACAUUAUACUUACUGAACAAUAUCUUGCAAAUCAAGGUUACAGAAUGCUUCGCAAGCUAUUUUCUCUGCAUUGUAGAAAGUGAAUGAAAUAGUCUUCAAAUCGAGGCCUUAUUACUUUUCAUGAAGCAAGGGGCUACAUGUGUUACAUGUUAGGAAGAACCUUUUCAGACACUUAUUUCCAGCAUUUCAGGAAUCCCAACAAAAAAAAAUCCAUUGGUACUGUAAUGUUACCAGGUCUCAUUUAACUGAGGAAAAUUUAAAAGAAAGCUGGCUGUGUCAUGGCAUGCUGUCUCAGAACAAAACAAGAUGAGGUAAACACUUCUGAAGGUCCCUCAGUAUAACACGCAACUAUUCAAAACAGACUAUGGUGAGAAUGGCAGGAUGUUCCAGUUCAUCUGUGUUUGUAGAGUCCCAGACAUCACAGGGUCUUAACUCACAAUCAGGGUUCAGAGAACAUGGAUAGAGGCCUCUGUGGCUGUAUCACAACACUAAGAAGUGCACUACAUGCUUCCAGAAUAAAUCUGGUACUCAGGACAGCUGUAUACUUUUCCAUCAUGAAGCACAAUACCCUCCAGUCCUGCUCUGAGGACAGGCCAAAUUUAGUAAUAAGCUGUCCUCUGUGUUCCCUCUCACACAGCGGAGAUACAAGCAGGGUAGAAAGAUAAGAAACUGCCUUUUCCCACCUUCUAUUUCCCCCUCAACUGCAAGGCCCUAGGAUCUAUAGCAAUACAAAUAACACUUCAACCAAAGAAGCCAGCCAACUCAGUAGAUGCAGGUUUGAACCCUGGUUUUACAGAACGUGUGAGAUCAUCAUCACCUGGUCACAUUCAAAUUGCACAAUGGAAAAUGACACAAUGAAAGUCUUCACACAGCAACUAAAGUAAGUCUGGGCCCUCCAGGUAGUACACAGCUAUACUGACAUAGAAA